GCGCUCUGGAGAAUCCCAUAUAGGUGGGUGCCGAAGGUGAAAGUGGCCGCUGGCCAUGAAUCUCUCAGGCGAAAGGACAGGGUU
RNAcentral lists this non-coding RNA (84 nucleotides) under Candidatus Pararuminococcus gallinarum. RNAcentral's name for it is "Glycine riboswitch". It matches the Rfam family "Glycine riboswitch aptamer", at positions 9 to 86 of the family's 94-position model. Rfam says of the family: This family represents the bacterial glycine riboswitch. Glycine riboswitches usually consist of two metabolite-binding aptamers domains with similar structures in tandem. The aptamers cooperatively bind glycine to regulate the expression of downstream genes. The record is from RNAcentral. Lineage: Bacteria; Bacillati; Bacillota; Clostridia.